This 72-nucleotide transfer RNA is filed under the name Camelus bactrianus (Bactrian camel). It matches the Rfam family "tRNA". From Rfam's summary of the family: Transfer RNA (tRNA) molecules are approximately 80 nucleotides in length. Their secondary structure includes four short double-helical elements and three loops (D, anti-codon, and T loops). Further hydrogen bonds mediate the characteristic L-shaped molecular structure. tRNAs have two regions of fundamental functional importance: the anti-codon, which is responsible for specific mRNA codon recognition, and the 3' end, to which the tRNAs corresponding amino acid is attached (by aminoacyl-tRNA synthetases). tRNAs cope with the degeneracy of the genetic code in two manners: having more than one tRNA (with a specific anti-codon) for a particular amino acid; and 'wobble' base-pairing, i.e. permitting non-standard base-pairing at the 3rd anti-codon position. RNAcentral also lists the same sequence under 2 other names. The record is from Rfam by way of RNAcentral. Lineage: Eukaryota; Metazoa; Chordata; Mammalia; Artiodactyla; Camelidae.
GAGGGUAUAGCUCAGUGGUAGAGUGCCUGCCUAGCAUGCAGAAGGUCCUGAGUUUGAUCCCCAGUACCUCCA